UUCGAUUCCCGGCUGGUGCAUCUAGUAGCAUGUGAGCAGUGAUGAAAAUAUCUUGAGCUGUGGUGAUGAAUCUUCGGAUAUGAUAUUAACCUCGCUAUAAUCUGAGCUCACU
This 112-nucleotide small RNA is filed under the name Arabidopsis thaliana (thale cress). Its description in RNAcentral is "ATSL116110". Lineage: Eukaryota; Viridiplantae; Streptophyta; Magnoliopsida; Brassicales; Brassicaceae. The record is from RNAcentral.